RNAcentral lists this ribosomal RNA (253 nucleotides) under uncultured bacterium. Its description in RNAcentral is "partial 16S ribosomal RNA". It matches the Rfam family "Bacterial small subunit ribosomal RNA", at positions 524 to 776 of the family's 1533-position model. The record is from RNAcentral.
UACGAAGGGUGCUAGCGUUGUUCGGAAUCACUGGGCGUAAAGCGCACGUAGGCGGAUUUGUAAGUCAGGGGUGAAAUCCCGGGGCUCAACCUCGGAACUGCCUUUGAUACAGCAAGUCUUGAGUUCGAGAGAGGUGGGUGGAAUUCCUAGUGUAGAGGUGAAAUUCGUAGAUAUUAGGAAGAACACCGGUGGCGAAGGCGGCCCACUGGCUCGAUACUGACGCUGAGGAGCGAAAGCGUGGGGAGCGAACAGG